CUACGCCAUGGAUCUCCUCGGCGGGAUGUAUCGCUAUGCCAUCCAAGGUUCUUGUGCCACCCGGGAUAUGAUUUUCAAGGAAACUUCGCCAUUCGUGGCAUAUAAUGGAUACCUAUCCAAGACAUCAUGUGGCAGUGUGCUGCAAAUAUGGAGGGUCAAGAGGAAAACAAGGGGGGAGCAAGAAGAGAUGCAUACAGUUGAUAUUGAGGUGUACAUGACUGACCUUGACAAGCAGCAGAUAGUUCGUGUGCGGACGUUGGGGGAUUACGCGUUGUUCAUCGGGCACAACUAUACUUGUUGCCUUUCCACACAGGACUACCCAGGGCUUCUGCGGAACCAUGUCUAUUUUACGGACGAUGACGAGUAUUGGCUGAUAGAUUCGAAAGACAAUCGUCGGGAUGUUGGAAUACUAGAUUUGGAGGAUUUAAGUGCCACUGAUGUUGUAUCUCCUCAACCAUGGUUGAAUUGGCCAAUUCCCGUAUGGAUCACUCCAAGUUUUAAUAAGAUCCAUAAAUAGGUCUCGGAAGAGAAUGCUCUUGCUUGUCAUAAAUAAUUUACUCCAGAACUAUUCUGGUGUAGUUGUUCUGCGAAGAAGACAGUAUGUUUGUGGGAAGAGAAUGCUCUUGCUUGUCAUAAAUAAUUUACUCCAGAAAUAGUCUGGUGUUUCUGCAUAUCCUGGCCUGUGAAGAAGACAUAGUAAUGAUUGUACUAUAAUUUAGCUUCAAAAAAUUUGUAUGCGCAGUGAACAUGAGGACAAUUGUGCCACUUAGCUGUCAAUUGUUACUUGGAAAAUAGCUGCAAGAGAUUGUCUUGGUGCUGCAUAGAGAAAAUGCAUGUUGGAUCCGUUUUUAAUUGGCAGUCA
Molecule: long non-coding RNA, 862 nt
Organism: Triticum aestivum (bread wheat)
Lineage: Eukaryota; Viridiplantae; Streptophyta; Magnoliopsida; Poales; Poaceae
Exons: 2
Source: RefSeq, a predicted model, not a curated record